CCUACGGGUGGCAGCAGUGAGGAAUAUUGGUCAAUGGGCGGGAGCCUGAACCAGCCAAGUCGCGUGAGGGAAGACGGUCCUAUGGAUUGUAAACCUCUUUAGGCGGGGAGCAAUGCCGGGCACGCGUGCCCGGAGGGAGAGUACCCGCAGAAUAAGCAUCGGCUAACUCCGUGCCAGCAGCCGCGGUAAUACGGAGGAUGCGAGCGUAAUCGGGAUUUAUUGGGUUUAAAGGGUGCGUAGGCGGAGUUUUAAGUCAGCGGUAAAAUGUCGGGGCUCAACCCGGGCCGGCCGUUGAAACUGGGGAGCUUGAGUGGGCGAGAGGGAUGCAGAAUGCGAGGUGUAGCGGUGAAAUGCGUAGAGAUGACGAAGAACUCCGAUUGCGAAGGCAGCAUACCGGAGACCGACUGACGCUGAGGCGCGAAAGCGUGGGGAUCGAACAGGAUUAGAUACCCUGGUAGUC
RNAcentral lists this ribosomal RNA (460 nucleotides) under uncultured bacterium. Its description in RNAcentral is "partial 16S ribosomal RNA". It matches the Rfam family "Bacterial small subunit ribosomal RNA", at positions 338 to 795 of the family's 1533-position model. The record is from RNAcentral.